Molecule: long non-coding RNA, 1483 nt
Organism: Apis dorsata (giant honeybee)
Lineage: Eukaryota; Metazoa; Arthropoda; Insecta; Hymenoptera; Apidae
Exons: 2
Source: RefSeq, a predicted model, not a curated record
UAGUGUUACACCUACUCAAUUCUAUUGAGUAUAUAUACCAUUAUAUACACCAUGAAUAUUUAAUACACGUGCCGACUGUGAACAAGGGUGAUGUGCCUUUUUUCGUUAACCUUGAUAUUCUGAUUCGUUGGCCAACAAGGUUUCUGGACGACAAUAAUAAUAGAGAAAAACUUUCUGUGAAAUAAUUGUAUAUAAUAUAAUAAAAAUAAAAGAAUAUUUCAUUUUUUGCGGAAAGGAGCUAACGGGAGGAAAAUAAAGAUAAUGUAAAAAUAUUCAAGAGAUCAGAGCAAUCAGUCGAUAAUGACAUCCAGCUGUUUCAUUUCACCGCAAUUAUGAAAUAUAGAUGUUUCGCUUGAAUUCGUUCGAAAAAGGAUUAAUUGAAGAGCACCAUUCUUCAAGUGGUUCGCAAAGUAACUCGAUAUCGGGCCGAAUUUAUUUUCAUUCGGCUAUUUCGUUUCGAUUCGUUCGAUAUAUUCCCGAAGAAGGCUAGCCACCAAUGGCACGAGAGUAGUAUAUCGCUUCGAUAUAAAGCUCGACCAUUCGAUGUAUUUAACCGCGCAGACGUACUUGAACAUAGUAACAUAUAUAUCGGCAAUUCUUUUACCUCCUCUCGCCGUUUCGCUUUAUGUAUCCCGCGAAAGUGCACAAGCCGCUUUACUACUCGAAAAGAAGUUCCUGCCAGGGGAAGCAAGCAACGAUAGAGCAGCAUGGUGGAAUCAGCCCUGUGUAACCGCCACGGGCUCAAUAUCUAAACAGGAAAUUUCCGUGCACGCCAGAAAACAUAGCUAGAAAUGUACGCGAAUCCGGCGAAUGUAAAAUACAUAGUAAAUGUACCGCAAAGAUGGACUGAGGAAACUGCAUAUUUAAAUGCGGAUAAAAAGAUCCUAAUUCUCAGAAGAAGGGAUGUCUUCGCUCAGAUAAUAUAAAUAAUCCUUCCGUGAAAUUUGAUGUAAUACAAGUGUUUUAUCAUUCUGAGUGCAUUUUAUUAAAUUAUGUAAUCUUCUUUCGCGUCUUUUAAUUUUUGAAGCAAAUAUAGAAAAAUAAAUUUUCUAUAACUUUUAAGCUAUUGUAUAAAUUGUACAUUCUAAAGAUCAAAUAAUUUCACUUAAUUUUCUGACAUUAUUUAAUUCUAAUCUAACUUUUUCUCAAAUUCUUGAACUUUUCAUGUGAUAUUUAAAUAAUUCCAAACUAUUAGUUUAUAGUGUAUUGUAAAUUUUUAAUAUAGAAUGUCCCAAAAAUGUAGGAAAUUGGAGAUUCCUGAGAUAAUUUCAAGCAACAUUUUCAUUUGGAAAAUCUUUUGAAACAGCUUUGUUAACGUGAUAUUAAAAUUAAUAUAUUUAUUACAAAAAAUACUAGUUAAUCACGAGUUCUAAAUCACUCAAGCCAUGAUGGUAGUGAUGAAAUAUGUGCCGUCGGCCGAACACGAAUAAGUCCAAGCAAUAGUUGUCGAAAAAAGUCUGUUGAAUAAUAAAUAUUUUGUUAU